CUGGUCACAGACUUUAAAAUGAUAUACAGGAUAUGGGGUUACAUUGUGUUAAUGUUGAGUUAUUAUGUAAAAUGUUGAGCUGGAUAAAAGCUAUUGUGUUAAUUGUAUUAUGUAAAAGCUAUUGUGCCAUGUGUCUUGGUGUCCAGCAGGAAAUUAAGUUAUCCUAUUUAGGCUUGAUUAGAAGAUUGUGCUUGUCCCAUUCUAAAUGUGAUAGAUGUGAGGCUUGAGUAUUGAUCUGUGG
This is a non-coding RNA of Pelobates cultripes (western spadefoot toad), 241 nucleotides long. The record is from the annotation of a GenBank genome assembly. NCBI's taxonomy places the organism in Eukaryota, Metazoa, Chordata, Amphibia, Anura, Pelobatidae.